Molecule: ribosomal RNA, 243 nt
Filed under: uncultured bacterium
Lineage: Bacteria
Description: partial 16S ribosomal RNA
Rfam family: Bacterial small subunit ribosomal RNA
Source: RNAcentral
AGGGAGCUAGCGUUGUUCGGAAAUACUGGGCGUAAAGCGCACGUAGGCGGCGCCGUAAGUCAGGGGUGAAAUCCCGGGGCUCAACCCCGGAACUGCCUUUGAAACUGCAGUGCUAGAAUCUUGGAGAGGUCAGUGGAAUUCCGAGUGUAGAGGUGAAAUUCGUAGAUAUUCGGAAGAACACCAGUGGCGAAGGCGACUGACUGGACAAGUAUUGACGCUGAGGUGCGAAAGCGUGGGGAGCAA